UACGUAGGGUGCAAGCGUUGUCCGGCAUUAUUGGGCGUAAAGCGCUUGUAGGCGGUUUGUCGCGUCUGCUGUGAAAUUUCGGGGCUCAACCCCGAACUUGCAGUGGGUACGGGCAGACUAGAGUGUGGUAGGGGAGACUGGAAUUCCUGGUGUAGCGGUGAAAUGCGCAGAUAUCAGGAGGAACACCGAUGGCGAAGGCAGGUCCCUGGGCCGCAACUGACGCUGAGGAGCGAAAGCAUGGGGAGCGAACAGG
RNAcentral lists this ribosomal RNA (253 nucleotides) under uncultured bacterium. RNAcentral describes it as "partial 16S ribosomal RNA". It matches the Rfam family "Bacterial small subunit ribosomal RNA", at positions 524 to 776 of the family's 1533-position model. The record is from RNAcentral.